This 462-nucleotide long non-coding RNA is filed under the name Gallus gallus (chicken). The record is from RNAcentral. Lineage: Eukaryota; Metazoa; Chordata; Aves; Galliformes; Phasianidae.
GUUUUAUUAAGAUAAGCUAACUGAGCAUCAGCUUCAUAGGGAGCAACAAUACAAUCAACUCCUCGGGCUCGUGCAGCUUUAAUGACUUCGUGAGCCAUAGCAUGCGUAACAUUUACACUGCGAGCAAAACAGUCCCGUGCUUCUGAAAGUUUCCCUUCCCGAAACAACUGUUUUCCUUUCAGAAGGUUGGCUUGACGCUUCUCUCUUCGGGCCUUCUCCACUUCCUUUUUAGAAGGUAGGGUGCAUCCAUCAAAUACCAAAACUGGUUUAAUUCCAAACGAGAGGAGCAUAUCAACGAGUUUCAUGCAGAAAACUACAUAAUGGUCCGUCGGCUCCCCCCUGGCCAGCUUCUCGGCGCAGCCAUAGGAGCCUUUGUGCAGCCAGCAGUACGCGUCCACGGCCACCGCCUGCCCGCGGUACUUCUUCACGUGGGCGGGCUCCGCGGCCUCCUUGAUGAACUGC